RNAcentral lists this ribosomal RNA (600 nucleotides) under uncultured bacterium. Its description in RNAcentral is "bacterial SSU rRNA". It matches the Rfam family "Bacterial small subunit ribosomal RNA", at positions 723 to 1327 of the family's 1533-position model. The record is from RNAcentral.
AGCUGGCGAGACUGUAACUGACGCUAAAGCUCGAAAGUGCGGGUAUCGAACAGGAUUAGAUACCCUGGUAGUCCGCACGGUAAACGAUGGAUGCCCGCUGUGUGCGAUAUAGUGUACGCGGCCAAGCGAAAGCGUUAAGCAUCCCACCUGGGGAGUACGCCGGCAACGGUGAAACUCAAAGGAAUUGACGGGGGCCCGCACAAGCGGAGGAACAUGUGGUUUAAUUCGAUGAUACGCGAGGAACCUUACCCGGGCUUGAACUGCAGAGGAAGGAUCUGGAGACAGUGACGCCCUUCGGGGCCUCUGUGGAGGUGCUGCAUGGUUGUCGUCAGCUCGUGCCGUGAGGUGUCGGCUUAAGUGCCAUAACGAGCGCAACCCCUGCGGUCAGUUGCCAUCAGGUAAAGCUGGGCACUCUGUCCGGACUGCCACCGUAAGGUGUGAGGAAGGUGGGGAUGACGUCAAAUCAGCACGGCCCGUACGGCCGGUGCUACACACGUGUUACAAUGGGUGGUACAGAGGGUCGGCCGCCGGCAACGUCGGUCAAAUCCUAAAAGCCAUCCUCAGUUCGGAUUGGGGUCUGCAACCCGACCCCAUGAAGCU